CCUACCGAAAGGUAGGCUAAUAUCAGAUGAUGCAGCGGCUCGACAUCGAGACAGUUGUUAACCUUCGGGGCCUAAAGAUGAGCCUGCGUCUGAUUAGGUAGUUGGCGGAGUAAUAGCCCACCAAGCCUGCGAUCAGUAGCUGGUCUGAGAGGAUGAUCAGCCACACUGGAACUGAGACACGGUCCAGACUCCUACGGGAGGCAGCAGUAAGGAAUAUUGCUCAAUGGCCGAAAGGCUGAAGCAGCAACGCCGCGUGGAGGACGGAAUACUUUUGUAUGUAAACUCCUGUAAGAAGGGAAAAAUAUGCAGUUUUUCUGCAUUGAUUGUACCUUCAGAGUAAGCCCCGGCUAACUACGUG
Molecule: ribosomal RNA, 358 nt
Filed under: uncultured bacterium
Lineage: Bacteria
Description: bacterial SSU rRNA
Rfam family: Bacterial small subunit ribosomal RNA
Source: RNAcentral